GGCAAGAAUUCCAGUUGAGAAGAUAGGGCUUCUUGUGUAAGAGGAGCUUGAAACAUCUGCAGAUCUUGAAACCUUUGAUCUGCACUGUUCCUUGCGCUCGUCUAUCAUUAUUUGUCUUGAUCGACACUCCAUGCUACAGAAUGCUUUCUCUCCUCUGUAAAGAAAUCCAAAGCAAAAUACAUUAAAAUCUCUAUCUUUUCAAAUCAAGAAAAUCAAGAAACACCUCGUCUCCUUUGUCCCUCAUCAUUUUUAUACAUAUUCUUGCCAAUAUAAUGGGAAAAUAUAAUCAAAAUAUCAAGAUAGCAAGAAAGAAGAAAAAUACAAGCUGCAGUAUUGUACCUGUACAUGUAUAUGUCUUUCCCAUGGAGCCUUUUCCUGCACAAG
Molecule: unclassified non-coding RNA, 384 nt
Filed under: Hevea brasiliensis (rubber tree)
Lineage: Eukaryota; Viridiplantae; Streptophyta; Magnoliopsida; Malpighiales; Euphorbiaceae
Source: RNAcentral